GCUGGAGUAGCUCAGCCCGGUAGAGCAGCCGCCUUGUAAGCGGCCGGUCGCAGGUUCGAAUCCUGUCUCCAGCU
This 74-nucleotide transfer RNA is filed under the name Actinomycetota bacterium. RNAcentral's name for it is "tRNA-Thr". It matches the Rfam family "tRNA". Rfam says of the family: Transfer RNA (tRNA) molecules are approximately 80 nucleotides in length. Their secondary structure includes four short double-helical elements and three loops (D, anti-codon, and T loops). Further hydrogen bonds mediate the characteristic L-shaped molecular structure. tRNAs have two regions of fundamental functional importance: the anti-codon, which is responsible for specific mRNA codon recognition, and the 3' end, to which the tRNAs corresponding amino acid is attached (by aminoacyl-tRNA synthetases). tRNAs cope with the degeneracy of the genetic code in two manners: having more than one tRNA (with a specific anti-codon) for a particular amino acid; and 'wobble' base-pairing, i.e. permitting non-standard base-pairing at the 3rd anti-codon position. RNAcentral also lists the same sequence under 1 other name. Lineage: Bacteria; Bacillati; Actinomycetota. The record is from RNAcentral.